Molecule: small RNA, 130 nt
Filed under: Marmota monax (woodchuck)
Lineage: Eukaryota; Metazoa; Chordata; Mammalia; Rodentia; Sciuridae
Source: RNAcentral
GCCAGGCACAGUGGCGCAGGCCUGUAAUCCUAGCUGCUUGGGAGGCUGAGGCAGGAGGACUGCGAGUUCAAAGCCACCCUCAGCAAUGGCAAGGCACUAAUAAGCAACUCAGUGAGACACCCUGUCUCUA